Molecule: long non-coding RNA, 353 nt
Filed under: Gallus gallus (chicken)
Lineage: Eukaryota; Metazoa; Chordata; Aves; Galliformes; Phasianidae
Source: RNAcentral
CAGUCCAGAAACCAGAUGAUUGUUGGGGCAUAGCUGAGGGCAUCCAGGUUUAUCUUCCCUUUGAAAUACUUUUUGACAUUCUGCAGGUAUAGUUUACAUGGGAGCAGCCCCUUUUCUCCUAUCAGCUGCUUGUUUUGAUGGUACGCCACCAGGAAGGCCACAAGGUACAGCAGCGCUACGGCGCGCAGCAGCACGAUGCGGGUGAGCCAGAAGGUACCCGGCGACAACAGCGGCCCAACCCCGCCGCCCGCCGACUCCGGGCCCUCCGCCCGCCCCGGAGUCUCGGGGGCGCCGCUGCCGCCCGCCGCCGCCGCCCGCCGCUGCCUCAGCGCCGCGCUGGGCGCCGCCAUGUC